GCCGGGCGAAGUGGCGAACGCUUGUAAUCCAGCUACUUGGAGGCUUGGCUUUGAGAAUGACUCGAGGCAAGGAGUCCUGUAGUGGAACGGAACAUGCCGACCGAGCGUCCAGGUCAAGAGCGGCGUCAAUAUGGUAACCAUUGAGGAGUUAAUGGGAACCAGGUUAGUCAAAGAGGGAUGAUACCGGCUGAGGGCGGCAACGCAGCAGGCAAAAGUCUCCGCGUCGUUACAAUGAUCGGAUAGCGCUUGUGAAUGGUCCGUCCAUUGCAGCUUUGCCCAAACAGUUUGACUUCAGCCUUU
RNAcentral lists this signal recognition particle RNA (300 nucleotides) under Trichuris muris. RNAcentral's name for it is "snRNA TMUE_0100000155". It matches the Rfam family "Metazoan signal recognition particle RNA". From Rfam's summary of the family: The signal recognition particle (SRP) is a universally conserved ribonucleoprotein. Lineage: Eukaryota; Metazoa; Nematoda; Enoplea; Trichinellida; Trichuridae. The record is from RNAcentral.